RNAcentral lists this long non-coding RNA (611 nucleotides) under Amphimedon queenslandica. RNAcentral describes it as "uncharacterized LOC109590679, transcript variant X1". The record is from RNAcentral. Lineage: Eukaryota; Metazoa; Porifera; Demospongiae; Haplosclerida; Niphatidae.
AAUGCUUCAAGCUUUGAAUUGCAUAGCAUGUUGUGUGUGUAUUUGUUUAUAGGCAAACUUUAUUGACUCCUGAAAAGUUCAGGACUUUGUCACAGUUCAAGUGUUUAAGAGCAGUAGCUGAACCAGGAGAACCUGUUGGACUACGAGCAGCACAAUCUAUUGGUGAACCUUCCACUCAGAUGACAUUGAAUACAUUUCAUUUUGCUGGUAGAGGAGAAAUGAACGUCACACUAGGGAUACCACGUCUAAGAGAGAUAUUAAUGACUGGUGGUCCUAAUAUUAAAAUUCCAGCAAUGGAUGUACCACUACUACCACUGCCUGAUGCAAAGGAGCAAUGCGUCAUAAAAAUGAUAUCAAAAAAUCUUUUAAUUCAUUUUUGGAGAAUUUGUGAUUACUGUAGAUUAUUCUCAAUUUAAUAUUGUGUGCACACAAUGUUAGUUUUAGACAAUCUUCCUGACUUUAUGGUUUACUGUUAAUUAUUUAUCUGUGUGUAGUUUUUUGGUUAGUUAGUUCUGUGUGUCUGGUCUAUAUUGUUUUGCUGUAAAGUCUCUCUUUUCUCUCUCUCUCUUUAUCUUUUAUCCUCUGUAAUAAUACUUUUACUUCAGUUACAA